This 81-nucleotide small nucleolar RNA is filed under the name Nelumbo nucifera (sacred lotus). Lineage: Eukaryota; Viridiplantae; Streptophyta; Magnoliopsida; Proteales; Nelumbonaceae. The record is from RNAcentral.
CAGUGUGAUGAAAAACAGGGCCAGCAGAACCAGAUUGAACAGAAAAAGAUGUUGCAAAAGGUCUUCCAGUGGUCUCUGGAA